Molecule: small RNA, 768 nt
Filed under: Pongo abelii (Sumatran orangutan)
Lineage: Eukaryota; Metazoa; Chordata; Mammalia; Primates; Hominidae
Description: processed transcript
Source: RNAcentral
AGCGUGCGCCCGGUGGGGCCGGCCGGGACUCGCCGCUCGCACGCCCUUGGGCCGCGGCCGGGCGCCCGCUCUUCCUUCCGCUUGCGCUGUGAGCUGAGCCGGUGUAUGUGCGGCAAUAACAUGUCAACCCCGCUGCCCGCCAUCGUGCCCGCCGCCCGGAAGGCCACCGCUGCGGUGAUUUUCCUGCAUGGAUUGGGAGAUACUGGGUAGGUACCAUUAUUAUUAAUAGUAACAGUAAUGAAACUGGGGUCAUACAACUUUUGUUUACGCGGUCAAAGGUUUAACGUUUAAGGACGCUAAAAUGGUAUUUUUAAAAGAUUGCCAGUUAAUGUAUCUUACAGUGCGGUAUUUUAUGUUUUGAAAACCUUCAGAAUUUUACCCUUAUCAUCGUGAGUUUAUUGAUUUUUUAACUCUGGUUUCUGGAACAUAUUAAAAUUGCAAAUUCCUCAUUAGUUGCUUUGGGUAUUGGAUACCAGAGAUCAGUGGAAUGUUAGUAGGGACGGUGUGCAAUUGAGAGCUUUCCAGACAGUUAAAAUUUCAGAGCAAAUUGAAGAGAAGAACUAGUUGAUUUUGAUAAGAGAACUAGUGGCAACAUAAGGCAUGCAGCAUUCUGAAUAGAGGGAUUAGAUGUUCACUCUAAUGAGUUGAAAGGCAGGGGAGGCAACUCAAAGAUUUAUUUGGAGGCUUAUCAAACAAUUUGUUGUACUAACUGUACUUAUUUUUAUUUUAUUUUUUGUUUGUUUGCUUUUUUCUUUUGUUAUUAUUUUU